This 102-nucleotide non-coding RNA is filed under the name Kribbella caucasensis. Lineage: Bacteria; Bacillati; Actinomycetota; Actinomycetes; Propionibacteriales; Kribbellaceae. The record is from RNAcentral.
GAGAGCCGGAUACUCGGAAACGGGUCUGUCCGGUUCGGAGGGAGGCCGGGCGGAAAAGGACCAGCCCACACGGCUGGCACCUCGCCGCUUGGCCGACCCUAC